AAGGGCACCACAAGAACGCGUGGAGCAUGUGGCUUAAUUUGACUCAACGCGGGAAAUCUUACCGGGUCCGGACACACUGAGGAUUGACAGAUAUACGCUCAUUGCAGUCCGCUGCAUGAGCUGAAAGAUGCUAGUUCUUUCAUGAUUAUGUGAUAGGUGGUGCAUGGCCGUUCUUAGUUCGUGGAGUGAUCUGUCUGCUUAAUUGCGUAUCAAUAAUAGAGACCUAGUAUACGCGUGGAUUUCGCGUGGUAGUGACCCCCUGUUUAACGACAGGCGUGUGUCGCACACGCGUACCUACGCACUGGUCUCAGAUAGCAACGAACGUGACCGUAUUCUAUUGUUGCAGUGAAAAUGUGCCUUCUGGGUACGACCCACUGCUUAGUAUAUGUACGUGCUUCGGCGCGAACAAUAUACAUUAAACUAUAGAGACCGCUGUUUCUUCUUUAAACCAGAGGAAGGAUACGGGCAAUAACAGGUCUGUGAUGCCCUCAGAUGUUCCGGGCUGCACACGUGCUACAAUGAUCAUUGCACUGUGCAUCUAACCCAAUGUGCGUGGACGCCGCAUGCAUGUGCUCUUCGGGGUACACGCAUUGCUGUUGCGACCACGCCGAACCUACUUCGAAAGUAAAAUUUCUCAGUGGGUAAUCCAUUAGAAGUAAUGACUCGCAUAGACCAUGGCACAACUAAAUGUACGCGCAGGUUCUACCCGGCUCGCCUUUGUGUGAGUGCAGUGCGUGGCUUGUUGUUUCGUACGUGCCACUCCGUAUUAAUUCGUACGUGGGGAUAGAUCAUUGUUUAAUUGUUGGUCUCGGUCUUAACUAGGAAUGCCUUGUACGGGUCUCUGGUUCAACAUACCACCCGGAAUACGUCCCUGCCCUUUGUACACACCGCCCGUCGCUCUUACCGAUGGGUUAUGCUAUGAAUCUAUAGGACUGCCAAAGUACGCGUUUCGGCGCCGCUUAGUGGAAAUAUAUAUNNNNNNCGUGAUCUAAAGGAAAGAGAAGUCGAACAAGGCA
Molecule: ribosomal RNA, 1016 nt
Filed under: Ammonia sp. 243
Lineage: Eukaryota; Foraminifera; Rotaliida; Rotaliidae
Description: bacterial SSU rRNA
Rfam family: Eukaryotic small subunit ribosomal RNA
Source: RNAcentral